GUCGUCAGCUCGUGUCGUGAGAUGUUGGGUUAAGUCCCGCAACGAGCGCAACCCUUUUCCUUACUUGCCAGCAUUUCGGAUGGGAACUUUAAGGAUACUGCCAGUGACAAACUGGAGGAAGGCGGGGACGACGUCAAGUCAUCAUGGCCCUUACGGCCAGGGCUACACACGUGCUACAAUGGUCGGUACAAAGGGUUGCUACACAGCGAUGUGAUGCUAAUCUCAAAAAGCCGAUCGUAGUCCGGAUUGGAGUCUGCAACUCGACUCCAUGAAGUCGGAAUCGCUAGUAAUCGCGGAUCAGAAUGCCGCGGUGAAUACGUUCCCGGG
Molecule: ribosomal RNA, 327 nt
Filed under: uncultured bacterium
Lineage: Bacteria
Description: bacterial SSU rRNA
Rfam family: Bacterial small subunit ribosomal RNA
Source: RNAcentral